This 208-nucleotide long non-coding RNA is filed under the name Nicotiana benthamiana. RNAcentral describes it as "long non-coding RNA (NBEN_LNC005772)". The record is from RNAcentral. Lineage: Eukaryota; Viridiplantae; Streptophyta; Magnoliopsida; Solanales; Solanaceae.
AAAAAUCUCAAAAAAAAGAGUUCAACCAAGACAACGAGAUGUAGAGAAACAUAAUCGGAUCGUCGUAUAGGCUCUGAUACCAUGUAAACAUUGAUAUUAGACUGAGAAAUCAUAGAAACUGUAGAGAGAGAAAUUAGAGAGAAGACAGAGCGUUUGGAACUCUCUGGAAAUGAGAGAAAUAUUAUUACAGAGAAAAAUGAGAGGAAAU